Molecule: unclassified non-coding RNA, 269 nt
Filed under: plant metagenome
Description: partial contains small subunit ribosomal RNA, internal transcribed spacer 1, and 5.8S ribosomal RNA
Source: RNAcentral
UUUCCGUAGGUGAACCUGCGGAAGGAUCAUUAAUGAGUUGUCAUGGGGUUCGAUGCUGGCAGCCAAUUUUUGGAUGCAUGUGCUUGCCCUAACAAUCAUCUUCCAAACACCUGUGCACAUUUUUGAGGGAGUCUUGAGUUGGUUGCCGCUCUUGGGUGAUUUUCUCACAUUCCCUUAAAUCAUUAUACGCUAUUAACAACGUUGAACGUGCUCUGUGCCGCAAGGCUAUUAAUAUAAUACAACUUUUAACAACGGAUCUCUUGGCUCUC